Molecule: ribosomal RNA, 254 nt
Filed under: uncultured bacterium
Lineage: Bacteria
Description: partial 16S ribosomal RNA
Rfam family: Bacterial small subunit ribosomal RNA
Source: RNAcentral
UACGUAGGGAGCAAGCGUUGUUCGGAUUUACUGGGCGUAAAGGGCGCGUAGGCGGCAUAUUAAGUCAGCUGUGAAAUCUCCGAGCUUAACUCGGAACUGUCAGCUGAUACUGAUGUGCUAGAGUGCGGAAGGGGCAAUCGGAAUUCUUGGUGUAGCGGUGAAAUGCGUAGAUAUCAAGAGGAACACCUGAGGUGAAGACGGGUUGCUGGGCCGACACUGACGCUGAGUGCGCGAAAGCCAGGGGAGCAAACGGG